This 173-nucleotide ribosomal RNA is filed under the name Candidatus Saccharimonadota bacterium. RNAcentral's name for it is "partial 16S ribosomal RNA". It matches the Rfam family "Bacterial small subunit ribosomal RNA", at positions 1 to 175 of the family's 1533-position model. Lineage: Bacteria; Candidatus Saccharimonadota. The record is from RNAcentral.
UUUUCUGAGAGUUUGAUCCUGGCUCAGGAUGAACGCUGGCGGCGUGCCUAAUACAUGCAAGUCGAGCGGUAAGGCUCCUUCGGGAGUACACGAGCGGCGGACGGGUGAGUAAUGUAUAGGAACAUACCCCAAAGUGAGGGAUAAGCCAGAGAAAUCUGGUCUAAUACCGCAUG